This 67-nucleotide transfer RNA is filed under the name Pyropterus nigroruber. RNAcentral's name for it is "tRNA-Glu". The record is from RNAcentral. Lineage: Eukaryota; Metazoa; Arthropoda; Insecta; Coleoptera; Lycidae.
AUUUCUAUAUAAGUAGUUUAAUUAAAACAUUACACUUUCAUUGUAAAAUUAAAUUUAAUUUUCUUAA